RNAcentral lists this ribosomal RNA (254 nucleotides) under uncultured bacterium. RNAcentral's name for it is "partial 16S ribosomal RNA". It matches the Rfam family "Bacterial small subunit ribosomal RNA", at positions 524 to 776 of the family's 1533-position model. The record is from RNAcentral.
UACGGGGGGAGCAAGCGUUGUUCGGAUUUACUGGGCGUAAAGGGCGCGUAGGCGGUCAGCACAAGUCAGUUGUGAAAUCUCCGGGCUUAACUCGGAAAGGUCAACUGAUACUGUGCGACUAGAGUGCAGAAGGGGUAACUGGAAUUCUCGGUGUAGCGGUGAAAUGCGUAGAUAUCGAGAGGAACACCUGCGGCGAAGGCGGGUUGCUGGGCUGACACUGACGCUGAUGCGCGAAAGCCAGGGGAGCGAACGGG